Molecule: ribosomal RNA, 651 nt
Filed under: uncultured archaeon
Lineage: Archaea
Description: bacterial SSU rRNA
Rfam family: Archaeal small subunit ribosomal RNA
Source: RNAcentral
UUCGCCCUUUGAUCCCGCCGGACCUGACUGCUAUCGGAUUGAUACUAAGCCAUGCGAGUCAUUGUAGUAAUACAAGGCAGACGGCUCAGUAACGCGUAGUCAACCUAACCUAUGGACGGGAAUAACCUCGGGAAACUGAGUAUAAUGCCCGAUAGAACAUUAUGCCUGGAAUGGUUUAUGUUCCAAAUGAUUUAUCGCCGUAGGAUGGGACUGCGGCCUAUCAGUUUGUUGGUGAGGUAAUGGCCUACCAAGACUAUUACAGGUACGGGCUCUGAGAGGAGUAGCCCGGAGAUGGGUACUGAGACACGGACCCAGGCCCUAUGGGGCGCAGCAGGCGAGAAAACUUUGCAAUGUGCGAAAGCACGACAAGGUUAAUCCGAGUGGUUUCUGCUAAAGGAACCUUUUGUUAGUCCUAGAAACACUAACGAAUAAGGGGUGGGCAAGUUCUGGUGUCAGCCGCCGCGGUAAAACCAGCACCUCAAGUGGUCAGGAUGAUUAUUGGGCCUAAAGCAUCCGUAGCCGGCUCUGUAAGUUUUCGGUUAAAUCUGUACGCUCAACGUACAGGCUGCCGGGAAUACUGCAGAGCUAGGGAGUGGGAGAGGUAGACGGUACUCAGUAGGAAGGGGUAAAAUCCUUUGAUCUAUUGAUGAC